GAACACAAAAUGGCGACACGUGGUUAGCAUUCGUCGCCAACGAGAAAUUGGGGUCGGCCCGAAAGCUCUAGAAUGCACCCCUAUUCCUCCCCGGGGCCAUUCCCGCUCAACGAGUUUUAUGACCUAAAAAACCCCACAGGCUGGUCUGAAGAGGAAGACACUUAAAGAUGAAGUGCUUAAUUCAAGGUCACAGAAUGUCGGGGAUGGACCUCCAGAUUUCCUUACUGACCUGCAUUAUCUUGUGGAUACCUGAGUGAAUUCCACACCACCCAUUUUAUAGAUGAAGCCACUGAGACGUGGAGCAACUGACUGAGUAGUCACUGCCCCACCCCUGCCUGGAGCCUCACACAUGACUUCUCUUAGUGACCACAGGAAAACAAGCUCAGGGCUCCCACUGAUUGUACAUUAUGGUGAGACGUGGUCUUGUAACACAGUGGUUAAGAAUGUGACUUUGGAGCCAGCCUGCUAGGGGCUGAAUUCUGACUCAGCCAUUUAUUAACUGUGUGACCUUAGAUGGAGUCUCACUCUGUAGCCCAAGCUGGAGUGGCGUGAUCUCGACUCACUGCAACCUCCGCCUCCUGGGCUCAAGUGAUUCUCGUGCCUCAGCCUCCUGAGUAGCUGGGACUACAGUUGUCCCUUCACGUGGGAUUGCUUCCAGUACCUCUGUGUAUAACAAAAGCUGCACCAUUCAAGUCCCACAGUUGCUCUGCGAAACCUCUGUAUAUGAAAAGUUGGCCCUCCAUGUACAUGGGUUUCCCAUCCUGUCAUAGAAUUUUCCACACUCCUUGACGGAGGUUCUUAACCCUUAUCCAUCAGCAUUCUCAGACAGCACCUCCGGUUAGGGACAGUAUCUGACCGUCCGACAUCCCUGCAGCCCCCAU
RNAcentral lists this non-coding RNA (881 nucleotides) under Pongo abelii (Sumatran orangutan). Lineage: Eukaryota; Metazoa; Chordata; Mammalia; Primates; Hominidae. The record is from RNAcentral.